GCAGGCAACCAUAUCACCCUGUAGCCCAAGACUGGUUGCCCACUGAAGCUAAGCAGGGCUGAGCCUGGUCAGUACCUGGA
RNAcentral lists this ribosomal RNA (80 nucleotides) under Sinocyclocheilus grahami. Lineage: Eukaryota; Metazoa; Chordata; Actinopteri; Cypriniformes; Cyprinidae. The record is from RNAcentral.